GCAGUCGAACGAUGAAGCCCUUCGGGGUGGAUUAGUGGCGAACGGGUGAGUAACACGUGGGCAAUCUGCCCUUCACUCUGGGACAAGCCCUGGAAACGGGGUCUAAUACCGGAUAACACUCUGUCCCGCAUGGGACGGGGUUAAAAGCUCCGGCGGUGAAGGAUGAGCCCGCGGCCUAUCAGCUUGUUGGUGGGGUAAUGGCCUACCAAGGCGACGACGGGUAGCCGGCCUGAGAGGGCGACCGGCCACACUGGGACUGAGACACGGCCCAGACUCCUACGGGAGGCAGCAGUGGGGAAUAUUGCACAAUGGGCGAAAGCCUGAUGCAGCGACGCCGCGUGAGGGAUGACGGCCUUCGGGUUGUAAACCUCUUUCAGCAGGGAAGAAGCGAAAGUGACGGUACCUGCAGAAGAAGCGCCGGCUAACUACGUGCCAGCAGCCGCGGUAAUACGUAGGGCGCAAGCGUUGUCCGGAAUUAUUGGGCGUAAAGAGCUCGUAGGCGGCUUGUCACGUCGGAUGUGAAAGCCCGGGGCUUAACCCCGGGUCUGCAUUCGAUACGGGCUAGCUAGAGUGUGGUAGGGGAGAUCGGAAUUCCUGGUGUAGCGGUGAAAUGCGCAGAUAUCAGGAGGAACACCGGUGGCGAAGGCGGAUCUCUGGGCCAUUACUGACGCUGAGGAGCGAAAGCGUGGGGAGCGAACAG
Molecule: ribosomal RNA, 700 nt
Filed under: Bacillota bacterium
Lineage: Bacteria; Bacillati; Bacillota
Description: bacterial SSU rRNA
Rfam family: Bacterial small subunit ribosomal RNA
Source: RNAcentral